UAGACAAAUUAUUGUAUUCGACUGUAUUCACGAUAUGUAUUUGUGAAUGCAGUAACGUAAAUAGUGCAAUUCAUGGUCUAUUCAGCUGUUUUUAAAUGGAAAGUGAAUCAAUUAACAUAAUAGACUCCU
Molecule: non-coding RNA, 129 nt
Organism: Nicotiana sylvestris (wood tobacco)
Lineage: Eukaryota; Viridiplantae; Streptophyta; Magnoliopsida; Solanales; Solanaceae
Source: Rfam